Molecule: ribosomal RNA, 277 nt
Filed under: uncultured bacterium
Lineage: Bacteria
Description: partial 16S ribosomal RNA
Rfam family: Bacterial small subunit ribosomal RNA
Source: RNAcentral
UUUCUGCCGCCGGCGACCGGCGCACGGGUGAGUAACACGUAUGCAACCUGCCCCUGUCAGGGGGACAACCCGCCGAAAGGCGGGGCUAAACCCGCGUACAUGCCACCGGGGCAUCCCGGAGGCAGGAAAGGCUUCGGCCGGACAGGGAUGGGCAUGCGGCGCAUUAGGCAGUAGGCGGGGUAACGGCCCACCUAACCGACGAUGCGUAGGGGUUCUGAGAGGAAGGUCCCCCACACUGGUACUGAGACACGGACCAGACUCCUACGGGAGGCAGCAG